This 749-nucleotide long non-coding RNA is filed under the name Marmota monax (woodchuck). Lineage: Eukaryota; Metazoa; Chordata; Mammalia; Rodentia; Sciuridae. The record is from RNAcentral.
UGGACUUUUAUCUUAUUCAUUUAUUUAUAUGCAGUGCUGAGAAUCGAACCCAGUGUGUCACACAUGUGAGACACGCACUCUACCAUUGAGCCAUAACCCCAGCCCCUUCCUUUCAUUCUUGUAACCACCAUUAUGAAGAGGAUGAAAUAGAUCUCACAAUCUCCAUUUGGCAGAGGGGAAAAAUAAGGCUGAUACAGGUAUAAAAAUUUUCCCAGGUCCACACAGCUGGGGUUAGUGCCUCAGUCUCCUAAUUCCCAAAAUAAGACCCUGCUGAUCUAACAGUAUUCAGAGCCAAUAGAAAGAGCCUAACAACUGUCUCCAAGGAGCCUGAAGAAAAUAACUUAAAGCUAGCAAGGUAACAGUGGGGGUAUGAAUGCUCUCUUAGUCUCCCAUGAGGGUGAUCUUGAAAAGCAGGACUUCAUCAGAUAUGAAAAUUCCCCUCCUGCCAUGCUGGCCAACUGGCCAAGCUGGGCUCAACUAAUUGUCCCACCAAGGAAAUGCCAGGUUUAUGUUUCAAUAAGACACAGCAUCUCAGUUCCAAUUACCCUAAAUAUGGGAAGUAUGGGAAUCUAGGAGGCCAUUCAGCCUCUUUGGGAAUUAACCAAGCCUAAUUCAUAAGGGUGUUGUUAACUAGGACAACACUGAUAAUAAUGGGGCCCUUGAGAUUUAGCUUAACUAGACCCUGAAUCUAGGGGUCCUCAGCUCAUAGGAGCCUAUUAUGGUACUACCCUUGCACUUCUUAAGUGGGC